CACUGAGUGCUGUCUGUGUGUCAUUUGCAGGAGCUUGGGAUGCUGUGGUGACUUGCUUCUUCCUUGACACUGCUCAUAACAUUGUACAAUACAUUGAUAUCAUUUCAAGAAUUCUCAAGGACGGGGGAGUCUGGAUAAAUUGGGUCCCUUACUUUAUCACUUUGCAGACAUGUACGGUCAAGAAGAUGAAAUGUCUGUUGAACUAAGUUUGGAAGAUGUGAAAAAGGUUGCUCUUCAUUAUGGAUUUGAAUUUGAGCAAUCCUCAACCAUUGAGACAACAUAUACAACAAAUCCUCGUUCUAUGAUGCAAAACCAAUAUCAUGCUGCAUUUUGGAGUAUGCGGAAGAGGAUGAAGAAUGUCUAGCAUAAGUCUGUCUACUUAAAUUAAAGGCUAGACAAAGAGUUUGGAGACUGUCUUUGGCUAUUUCCUGGUCCGUUUUGUUUGCCUAAUCCUGUUAAUCUUAUUAUUGUUCUGUUAUAGCAGAAAGUGGAUUACAGUAGUAUGUGGAUUGAAAUGCUAAACUUGUGCGAGUGAGUGUAAUAUCAUGGAAAUGUAUAUUGGUUCGCCCGUGUAAACUAAACAAGGAUCCGUGUUUCAUAACUGUUGAUGUACUUCUAGUAAUGUUAAAGCAGAUUUGUGAUUUUCUACUUU
This is a non-coding RNA of Coffea arabica (coffee), 652 nucleotides long. Lineage: Eukaryota; Viridiplantae; Streptophyta; Magnoliopsida; Gentianales; Rubiaceae. The record is from RefSeq and is a predicted model, not a curated record.